RNAcentral lists this ribosomal RNA (302 nucleotides) under uncultured bacterium. Its description in RNAcentral is "bacterial SSU rRNA". It matches the Rfam family "Bacterial small subunit ribosomal RNA", at positions 773 to 1076 of the family's 1533-position model. The record is from RNAcentral.
AGGGAAUAGAUACCCAGGUAGUCCACGCAGUAAACGAUGCAGACUAGGCGUGGGGGGACUUGACCCCUUCCGUGCCGGAGCCAAACGCGGUAAGUCUGCCGCCUGGGGAGUACGGCCGCAAGGCUAAAACUCAAAGGAAUUGACGGGGGCCCGCACAAGCGGCGGAGCGUGCGGUUUAAUUCGACGCAACGCGCAGAACCUUACCAGGGCUUGACAUGCACCUGCAGGCUCAUGAAAGUGAGCGUCCUUGAGGUGGUGCACAGGUGCUGCAUGGCUGUCGUCAGCUCGCGUCGUGAGAUGUU